This 377-nucleotide ribosomal RNA is filed under the name Staphylococcus aureus. RNAcentral describes it as "partial 23S ribosomal RNA". It matches the Rfam family "Bacterial large subunit ribosomal RNA", at positions 12 to 382 of the family's 2925-position model. The record is from RNAcentral. Lineage: Bacteria; Bacillati; Bacillota; Bacilli; Caryophanales; Staphylococcaceae.
UAAGGGCGCACGGUGGAUGCCUUGGCACUAGAAGCCGAUGAAGGACGUUACUAACGACGAUAUGCUUUGGGGAGCUGUAAGUAAGCUUUGAUCCAGAGAUUUCCGAAUGGGGAAACCCAGCAUGAGUUAUGUCAUGUUAUCGAUAUGUGAAUACAUAGCAUAUCAGAAGGCACACCCGGAGAACUGAAACAUCUUAGUACCCGGAGGAAGAGAAAGAAAAUUCGAUUCCCUUAGUAGCGGCGAGCGAAACGGGAAGAGCCCAAACCAACAAGCUUGCUUGUUGGGGUUGUAGGACACUCUAUACGGAGUUACAAAGGACGACAUUAGACGAAUCAUCUGGAAAGAUGAAUCAAAGAAGGUAAUAAUCCUGUAGUCGA